GGAGGGCGCGGCGGUCGCUGC
Molecule: small RNA, 21 nt
Filed under: Arabidopsis thaliana (thale cress)
Lineage: Eukaryota; Viridiplantae; Streptophyta; Magnoliopsida; Brassicales; Brassicaceae
Description: Ath_wt_12980
Source: RNAcentral